AUAUCUAAUACUAUACAUAUAAUUAUUGUGGGGCUCAAAGACAACAAUUAAUGCAGAGCUCAUUAAUACAAAACUUAGCCACCAAGAUACAUUCUUUAUAUAUCCCUCACCAGCCAUAUUUCUUCUGCAUCUCCUUUUCUCCCUCACCGGCCACUUUUCUUUCGGCACUAUCUUGCUUCACCUUGCUUUCUUGCUUCUCUUUCUUUUUCCAUUUUUCUUUCGGCACUUUCUUGCUUCAAUGUGAGCACUCUUUCUAUUUUGCUUCUCUUUCUUAUCUUUCUGUUCUUGCUUCUCUUUCUUUCCUCUUUUUUCUUUGUCAGCUUCUUGCACCUUCUUUUCUACAUUUUAAUGAGCAGCAGCUUCUUGCACCUUCUUUUCUACAUUUUAAUGAGCAGCAGCUUCUGUUUCUAUCUGUAAUAUUGGCAUAUUCUUGCUCUUUUCUCUAAGCUUCUUGCUUCCAAUUUUUAUAUUUUUUUUAUUUCUACCUAAACUUUUCAUUUCUACUCUAAGCUUCUUUCUCACAACUUCUUACAUCAUUUUCUUUAUUUUCUUUCUUUUUUAUAUUUUAGUUUUUUUUGUUUCUAUUUUAUAUAUUUUUUUCUAUUUUACAUAUUCGUUCUUUUCUUUCUUAUAUCUUCAGUUUAAUUUUCCAUCCUAUUUUAUGUGUUUAUAACUACAACUUUAGAUUCUUUCUUUCUUUAUUUUUUUUAUAUCUUCAACUAUAUUUUCUUCCUAUUUUAUGUGUUUAUUUCAGUUUUACAUCUUUAGAUUUCUUUUCUGCACUUCUAAACAAAAAUAGAGCAAAACCCCCCCCUAUUUUCUGCACUUCUAAACAAAAAUAGAGCAAAACAUUACUAUAAUCCCAUAUACAACAAACAGGUUUAUGAUAAUGACGAAAGUGCAAAAACACGUUUGAAAUAUGAAUAAAACAUGCAAAAAGAAACAACAGGUUAUCUGAAUAUGAAAUUUCGAAGAGUUUGCAUGAUAUAUGCUAAAUAAGGUUUAAGUAACUUACUCAGUCAAACAAAGGCAGAUUUCGGAGGUAGCAAAAAAGAAUGAUUUUUUUGUUCUUAUUCUUAAUCAAAAAUAAUUUCAAAGAGGCAGCAAAUAUUUCAAAUGGAUUUGUGUUAGCAACAAGUAAUGAUUUUUAGUUCUUCAUAUGUGCUGCCUCUUUGAUUUUUUUUGAAACAGCAAAGUAAACAAAAUUCCUGCAUUUUCUAUGAAACACGAAAAGCAAGAGCAAAUAGAUCUACGGAGAUCUAAAAAACGACAAGUAACAGUUUCAUGUGUAGAUAUUCAGAGAUCUACGAAAAUGAAAAUCUGAAAAACAAUAAACUAAUAAUGCGAAAAAAAAAUAAGAUGUCUGUAUAGGAAAAAAAAAGAAAAGUGAAGCAAUAUCAUCAAAAAAUAC
RNAcentral lists this long non-coding RNA (1411 nucleotides) under Salvia miltiorrhiza (redroot sage). RNAcentral describes it as "long non-coding RNA (SMIL_LNC006470)". The record is from RNAcentral. Lineage: Eukaryota; Viridiplantae; Streptophyta; Magnoliopsida; Lamiales; Lamiaceae.